CUGAUCUUGUAGUCAGCUGUUAGAACAUUAGAGCCCUUUUCUCCUUCCCUUUCAUUCAGUGGUAUCACAGGAUGAGAAGCUGGGCUCAGAACUGCUUCAACAUAUGGCAUGGUUGGAAGAAAUAUUUUCUAUGGAAUUAGGUGGAGGACGACGAUAUUCCAGAAACUUCAUCUUGCUGGUUUCCACUUCUUCAGCCCUGAAAGAGGGCCCUGGAUGGAAACUGAGCAGCUGGAGGGUUCUUUGUGAAAUCCUGAGAAGAAUGUGGGGAGGCUGUCAAGGAGUGGAAGUCCUCACAUCUCUAGUGAGAACACUCAGAGUUCAGAAAUUUAAUAACCAAUACAGAUAUCAUAAAAGCCCAGAUGCUGGUUUGUGGUCAACAGCGCAGUUUUCUUUGAGCAGUGAGGAAGAGAAAUGUGUCUGUGUGUGA
This 427-nucleotide long non-coding RNA is filed under the name Coturnix japonica (Japanese quail). RNAcentral describes it as "lncRNA (ENSCJPG00005018094.1)". The record is from RNAcentral. Lineage: Eukaryota; Metazoa; Chordata; Aves; Galliformes; Phasianidae.